This 534-nucleotide ribosomal RNA is filed under the name Candidatus Arsenophonus arthropodicus. RNAcentral's name for it is "bacterial LSU rRNA". It matches the Rfam family "Bacterial large subunit ribosomal RNA", at positions 175 to 750 of the family's 2925-position model. Lineage: Bacteria; Pseudomonadati; Pseudomonadota; Gammaproteobacteria; Enterobacterales; Morganellaceae. The record is from RNAcentral.
CGAGGCAAACCGGGGAAACUGAAACAUCUCAGUACCCCGAGGAAAAGAAAUCAACCGAGAUUCCCCCAGUAGCGGCGAGCGAACAGGGAGCAGCCCAGAGUCAACAUCAAUAUUUACCGCAGGAGAAAGAUCUGGAAAGGCCGGCAAUAAAGGGUGAUAGCCCCGUAUCUGAAGCGGUAAGUGUUGUGAACUCGAAGAGUAAGGCGGGACACGUGUUAUCCUGUCUGAAUAUGGGGGGACCAUCCUCCAAGGCUAAAUACUCCUGACUGACCGAUAGUGAACCAGUACCGUGAGGGAAAGGCGAAAAGAACCCCGGCGAGGGGAGUGAAAUAGAACCUGAAACCGUGUACGUACAAGCAGUAGGAGCACCCGAAAAGGUGUGACUGCGUACCUUUUGUAUAAUGGGUCAGCGACUUAUAUUCUGUAGCAAGGUUAACCGCAUAAGGGAGCCGUAGGGAAACCGAGUCUUAACUGGGCGUUAAGUUGCAGGGUAUAGACCCGAAACCCGGUGAUCUAGCCAUGGGCAGGUUGAAG